CGUGACAAGACUACGCUAAAGGGAAGGCCUGGCGGGGCUGACACGGGAGCGGAUGUACGACGGCUGCGGCCUCUUCUCGGACCACUUUACAGAAAGGGACAACGCCGACCCGGCCAAAACCAGAUCGUUGUGGUCGGCCGGGAGGACUAUUGGAAGGGAAAUCCCGAUCGGUGUAGAAAGUGGCCCUAGCGCAGUCACAUCCGCUUCGAUUCCCAUAAUCGCUGUCUCGUCUACGUUACGGUAAGUUUUUGUUCAAAAGCAACGUGUGAUAUAUAACAUACCAUGGAAGUUUUUACAUAUUUGAAAGUAAACGACGAGCAUUGGUUGGUUUUCGCUUCUUCGAGGCCUUCAGUGGGCAUGCAUGGAGUGCUGUUUUUUUUUUUUUUUGAGGGUGGGGGGGGGGGGGUGCAGCGGUACGAACUACAAGACGAAUCGUCGCAAGAUUUCAGUGCCAUAUUUAUUGAUAAAGAAAAAGUAGUGAAUAGAGAAGUUAAGGGCAGAAAGAAGCUGUAACCAGCCUUCGUUUCAAGAAAAGAGGGACACUUCAAGACAAGGAGAGGACCAUCGCUUGUUCUCUCUUUUUCCACGUGUUUAUUUUGUGUGUGCGCUGCUCAAGAAUGUAUAGGUUUCCAGUCGCCCGCUUUUCAAUCCUCCUGCAGGAUAUUUUUAUACAUUGUAAGUAGUUCACAUAAAAACUGGGUCAGCAUGCGGCUCACGUAAUCUACAAACUUACUACCAAACGUUUUAGACUGAUUGUUUGUAUGCGUGCUGGUAGUGUUGCCCCGAGCUAUUGCGUGUCUUGCGGGCAAAUAUGAAUACAUGGCACUCUAUAUUCUGUCUUUUUCUAGACUCCAGCCAGAUGUCAGUUCACCCUGCUUUCCCGUUGCCUGGACCAUCUGGCCUUGAUGCAGACGGCAGUGUAGAGGUGCGUUUGACAUCGCCGGAAGCAUUGGGCCGGGAAAGACAUCACGAAAGGCUACGCAAGCGCAGCCAAACAUUCACGAAAAGAGCGGCUUUUACAGAACAGUACGCAAGUUAUAUGGAUGCUGUCACAUUCGUGCGAACUGUUUUCACUACGACGAGUUUCAUACGCUGAG
This is a long non-coding RNA of Dermacentor andersoni, 1097 nucleotides long. RefSeq lists it as uncharacterized. Lineage: Eukaryota; Metazoa; Arthropoda; Arachnida; Ixodida; Ixodidae. The record is from RefSeq and is a predicted model, not a curated record.